This 253-nucleotide ribosomal RNA is filed under the name uncultured bacterium. Its description in RNAcentral is "partial 16S ribosomal RNA". It matches the Rfam family "Bacterial small subunit ribosomal RNA", at positions 524 to 776 of the family's 1533-position model. The record is from RNAcentral.
UACGGAGGGUGCAAGCGUUGCUCGGAAUUACUGGGCGUAAAGCGAACGCAGGCGGUUCAUUAAGUCGGGCGUGAAAGCCCCGGGCUCAACCUGGGAAUUGCACUCGAUACUGGUGAACUUGAGUCUGAGAGAGGGAAGCGGAAUUCCUGGUGUAGAGGUGAAAUUCGUUGAUAUCAGGAGGAACACCGGCGGCGAAGGCGGCUUCCUGGCUCAGUACUGACGCUCAUGUUCGAAAGCGUGGGGAGCGAACAGG